Long non-coding RNA from Camelus dromedarius (Arabian camel), 9913 nucleotides. RefSeq lists it as uncharacterized. The transcript has 10 exons. NCBI's taxonomy places the organism in Eukaryota, Metazoa, Chordata, Mammalia, Artiodactyla, Camelidae. The record is from RefSeq and is a predicted model, not a curated record.
GGCCUGGUGAAACGUGAUACAGCGCCUCUGUAGACACAUUCACUUUCUUUCUUUCUUUUCAGGGAGGGUGUGUGCGCGUCCGGGAAGCCCCCCAAAACGCCGUGCUCCUCGAAAUCAGAAAUAUCCUUCUGUUCCGAGGUCUGUCCCCUUCGUCCUCCCCCUCCGCAUACUUAGUUCUCCACUCGCUCCCCAGCCCCACCCAUCCGCCCCCCUCCCUUUGCAGAGUGUGAUUGUUUUGUCUGGAAAAAAAAAAUCCAAAGUAUAUAACAAGGGGAGAACAGUUAGUGCUGAUUUUCAUUUGCAUACAUUUUCAUAUAUUUUGGUGAAAAUAAUAGACCAGCGGAGAGCUAGGCUUCGAGGAGUCAGUGUAAGGGGAAGACUAAGGCGGCGGCGUUCUGGUUCUGGGGAGUUGAGACCAUGCCUUCCCCCUCAGUCAUCUUAUUUAAAAAAACAAUAAAACAUCAUUUAUUUUAAAGUAUAACCCUGGAAGUUUGCUCGUGCUUUUCAGGUCUUAAUCAAAGAACAUCUUUGUGAUCAGACUAAUCAGCAAUUGAUGGAUAAAAAAGCUACAACUCAGACAAGACAGGUGAGGAAACUGACAACUCAGAGAAGAUACUGACUGUCCCACGGCCCCUCCCACCGAGCUGGGCCAUAUCAUUUUCAAAGCUCGCUGUUGGGGUGGGAGCCCCCGAAGCUGAAAUGGCCUGAAAGUGGAAACUUUUCUUGGGAGUUGACUAGUCAGUGAAAUAUUCAUAGAAAUGUAACACGACACAGGAUGCUGAGCUGGUGUCUAAACUUUGUUCCAAACCAUAUUUGCUAUUUGUAAAACUGGCCCCUCAGGGACUAGAUGGGGUUAAGGAACUCUACUCAUCUGUAGUUAAUCUAAGAAUUAACAUUUAGCAAAUUACUGCCUCAGUGCCUGAAAUGAGGUAUGUGUCUGGUGGCUCCGUUGAUUAGAACCCUGUGCUAAUGAGGUCACCAGGUAAGUCCCCAGGAGGGCUGGCUCACUUCUCUGUGGUCCCCCUCGGAACCCCAGCCAGGCCCCCAAAUGAACACUGGUCACAAGUGGCCUUCUGGGGAAGAAUCAACAAAUUCUUCACUAUUCGUGGGAAAAAAACAGCUCAAAGCAGAUGCCUUGAGUUGACUUGGAGUAUGGCAAUGAUCCCAUGGGGUGACAAAAUGGUACCCUAGAGGCUGCAAAGACUUCUUGCAGACGGCAAGUGCCACGCUUCCCGGGGUGGCUUCCAUGCUGGGAAAGCUGGCUUUGGUGUGUGUGGGAGCUUCCAUCCUGCAAGGAAAGGGGAGGGUCAUCUGGGAACAGUGGGAGGCAGGAUGCUUGUUCAAGAGGGAGACUCGGGGAGGGGGGGAUGCUUUAGAGGGAAUUUUGUUGAAUUUUUCACUUAUCACUUAUUCAAAAGAUGAUCAUUUUGGGCCUGCCAAUUACUGUCUGUUGUCAGACACCCCCCGGGACCAUUUCUCUGGCAGCCACGCCACUCCACCAACUUGCCUCAAGCUGGCAGGAGACCCACGCACUGAGAGCUUUCAGAGCACGGGGGGUUCUCACACUCAAGCAUUCUCUCCAUUUUUCACUCUCCGAAACCACUUUUUUCAGGUCCAGGUCCAUUCUGAGGCUAAAUCUCACCCAAGCAGGGCCAGAUGCAUCAACAACCUCUGAGGCUGUUUCUUGGGUUUAGGAAGGAAUAAUGCCUAAUGGCCUCAGCUGUGCCUUUGGCAUUCCCAGUCUAAACCAGCACCCUCACUGGCUUCCUCCUACUUACCAAGAGUGCCUUCUCCUGGGCAGAGGCCACCUCUCUCUCUUUUUUUUUUUAGUUGAAAAAUUAAAAAAUCUCUGUACCCUUAUCCCCUAGCAGAAUGCUUUGUAUACAGUAGGAGUCCAGUAAAUGUUCACUGAAUGAGUGAGUAGAUGAAAGAAUUCCGCCAGAAUGGAAUCUGGUUCCAUUUAGACAAAGGCAACUUUUUAAUGUUACCAUUUUAUUGCUUUUCUCUUUAGAAAAUUAUAUGUGGUUAUUAAAAAUAUUUUGGAAAAUUGAGAUGUGUGGAACAGAAGAAAAUACCGCCCCCCCCAAUAAUGGCAUUACUUGGAGAUAGCCUUUCUUAACACUUUGGGGUACAUGACAUUUAUAUCCACAUGCAGAUCUAUCAUAUAUGUGGGACUCAGACAAUACAUAUUCUUGUGUAACUUUUUAGAGUUAUAUCAGAAAGCUUUGUGCAAUAUUGUAUCUUUUUACACGUGAUUAUUUUUAUUUUUUCAGAGUAUCUUAUUGUAUGACUUGAUUUUGACUUAAUCUGUCACAUAUUUAAACAUCCUUGUAGCUUAAACUUUCCACAUCAUUUCAUUUAUUUCCUGGGGAUAAGUUCCUACAAGAGGAAUCGCAUAAUUCCAUGUUUUUCUAAUUCAUUGUAUGUUCUUGGCAAGUUAUUGGUCAGAGAAGUGCCACCGAUACAUAGUCCUACCAGCAGCAGGUUAGUGUCUGUCCACUGUCCUCCCUUGGUAAACACUGAGAAUUGGCAUUCUUAUAGAUAUUUGCUAAUUCAUAGGCAAAAAGUAUGUCAGUGUCCUUAUACUUUGCAUUUCUUUUAUUAAUAGCAAGACUGAAUAUUUUUUCAUGUGAUCAUUUUAAUGUCUUCUUUGCAAAUUGCUUGUUAAUGUUUUUGAAGACCCAUGUCUGUUUCAUGGGCUAUUGUAAGAAUUAGUUGAAAUAACCUAUCUGAAUACAUUUGAAGCCUACACAGCAAGAAACAAAUAUGUUAACCAAAUUUGUGACCUGACCAGACCUGUCCCAGGAGGGUCAGAAGGAAUGGUUACCUGGAGUCAGUGGGUGCCCAGUGAAGACUUGCACAGCUCUGCCCAUGGACGGAUGGGGAGAGGUGCCUGCGAGAAAGGGAAAGAGACGUUGGUAUAAAGGUUUGUUACUGAGAGAAGGCCACCGAAAGUAGACAAGGUUGGAGGCGAUCCAGGGCCUGGCAGCUCGAAACGGGAGCAGAAGGGACCAGGGAGCAACAGGAAACCGAGACCCUGCUCUGGGCUGGUCUGAGUCCCCCCCCAGGGCGGGGGGUGUUGGGGCAGGCAUCUUCCCAAAUGUCCUCAAACCAGCAACUGACAAAACACCAGCAGGGCCGCCCCUCUGGGGACUCCCCUGCGUUCCAGUGCGACCAAGGCAGGUGUGUUUGAGAACAAAAAUGAGAUGGAAUCCGCCGCACACAGGUGUGGUCCUCUGGCCAGAACACACCUGUGCUUUCCGGGAAGUACUUGGAGUUGCCACGCUUAAGACAGGCAAACCAUAUACGUAGAUAAGAAGUAAUCCAGUGAAGACAGGAUUCUGCACUAAAAUUCCACCAGUGUGUAGACCCCACUUCUGUAAAAUUAUAUAUAAUAUAGCUAUGUGUUAAUAUAACUAUAUUAUACACAUUGUACAGGUACACAUACAACACAUGAAUGUAGGCAUAAGCCUGCCCGUGGUCGUCUCCGGAGAGUGGUACUGAGUUGGGAUGAGGAGAAAUAAUUAUCUUUGCUUUUAUUCACAUUUCUAAGUGUUGUUUCACUUGUUACCCUGUAUAUUCACUUGUUACAACUAUAUACUUUCUGUACUUUGAAAAUGAUCUAAUAAGGAAACAAAAUUGCAACACUCCACCCUGCAGCAGGAGUCCACAACUCACCAGGUGACCGGAGCUGAGUUCUGGGCUGUCACUGGCCCCAGUGCUGACUCGGACAGAGGAGCCCCAGGGAGCCCCUGAGAGUCACACCUGGGCCCCGCAGGACACUGAGCUCAUCGCCACCUCACACUUAGAUGACGGGGAAGCCUUGCCUUCUUGGCGGACAGGACCCUGAGAAUAGCAGGGACUGUAUGAAGAACUUUCAGAAGUGGGGUCCCAGUCUUCACCAUCGCCCAUCGCCCAGAUGAGGAGACAGCCUCGGAGAAGUGGAAGAGGCUUGGCAAAGCCACCUCCCUGUGCGCAGUUCCUGGAACCUUUGUCUCUGUUCUGGUGACCUUUCCGUGAGCCCAGGGACAGUGAUGGAUACAGUGACCUCAGGGAGUUGCUUGGGCUCUUUUCCAUGGCUCCUGGGGACUCCUGCUGCAGGGAACAGGAAGGACCCUGUGGGUGGUCAGGGGGUUCCUAUUACUCUGUGGGGCAGCCAGGCCCCUGUUCCAUGUCUGCCCACAGGUAGACAGGCUCAGCCCCCGAUCUCACUCUCUGACCACCUAGUGUCCACAUCUCGGACCUCACCGGGGCUCCCACAUCUUGAGAUUGGGGAGCAUCCAGGGAGAUCAGUGGAAGGUCCAGCUUCCUCCUCCCGUCCCAACACUUAACAAUGUGGGCUGUGAUGACUGUGGACAUGCUGCCUCUACAGAUUAGCAUCUGGGUCCUCUGUCCUCCUGGAGUUCUUGCCUGUUCCCGUCCUUCUUCUCAAACUUGUCUCCCAGGGAGUUGGCAAUGAUGGCUAGGACCACCCGUUGUCUGAGGUCCAUCUGGGUGCACCUGCUUUUGGGGGGACACACACAUGGCACUCAAACAGGCUCGUGUAGCUCUCUGGCCACCUUGGGUUCCACACUUCCUGGCAGGAUCCCACUGGGAACUCUUUGGGGCCAAACGUUUCUUUUGCAACUUAAUCAUCGGCAUGUGGGCUACUGUGCUCCCUGCCUGAGACUGACUGGAUGGAACUCAUCAGCUCUGAGUUCCAGCUCUGGAGAAUGGCAGCUGCUGGAAGAGGCCCGAGAAUCGGGAGCUCCAAAGUCCAAGGGCAGGAGAAGAUGGACAUCCAGCUCAAGGAAGGAGAACAUUCACCCUUCCUCUGCCUUUCUGUUCUAUUCAGGCCUUGAGUGGAUUGGGUGGUGCCCACCGCAGUGGUGCUCAGAAAACACCUAUGGACUUGAACAGACAGGACAACACUGACCGGCUGGCUGGCUUGAGUUUCAUUUCUUUUUGGAAGCCUGGGAUGGAAUAAAAUUGCCAAAAUGCCGUGACCAGAAGGAAGGCCAAGGUUUUGGCAAAUCCACAGAUACAAUCUCCUCCUCUGUGACUGAAUUCCGUUCCAGUGGUUAGAACUCUCUAACGAGGGCCUCGGCUUUGUGUAGACGGAUUAGCAACAAGGGUUUUCUAUAGAGAUAGAUUUUUCCAGAGUAGCAAAUUUGAACAAUUUACUCUCAGAAUUUCAAUGGAAAAAGAAUAAUCCUACACAAAAAGCAAAUGGACCAAGAUCCUUCCCCCUCUUCUCUGGUUAAUCAAAGCAUUUACACAGAAAUGCUGUAAGGACUUGUGUAGGAGAUGCACUGGGAUCUUCAAGUCUCUCCUCGACGCUCACUUCACUUUGUCAGAGUGGCUCUGCCCUCCGAACGGUAUCACAUAAAAAUGGAUUUUCUGGGGCUCCUGGCUAUGAAUGGGUUUUAGUUGCACAGUGGUGCCAUUCAUUUUAUUUGGCCCAUUAUCACAAGUACGGUCUAAAUUUGGCCUUAAUUAUUUUUCCUUUCACAAAAAUAUUUUGUGGGAUCUUUUUGAACCCCGACUACUUCCUUCUUGUCCCUUAAAACAGAAUCCAGGAGUGUUAUUUUUUUGUUCUCUUCUAAUUAAAAUAAUUGCUUGGUUCCUUUUAACUAGAUUCAUGCCAUUAGGGGCCUAAUACAUGGAUGGGUGCCCUGGGGUGCUUGGGAAACAGAAUGAAAAGUGAUCAUGUAGCUUCACAUGAAAAAGGUCCUGCGGUGCCAAGAAGCAUUUUUUUCCCUUUCAGCUGGCGUUUUAUAAGGGCCUUUAGUAAACCUGGCCCCCCAUACCCUUACUAAAAGACGAUUAAGCCACAGAAUAGUUCUAUUUUCUUUAUUAGGUGUGCAGCGACCUCGGUCCCGUUUGAAGAGGGGCCCUUGAUGUGCUGGGACUGGCACGAGGACCGGGGUCUGGGUUUAAUUUCUGCCCCUGCUUUGUCUUUCAGAACAACUGCAUGUGAAGGGUGAGUGCUCCAGGUCCCUGCUGCCAGGGGGUGUUUCUCAGGGGACAGUGGAAGACGAGGGACAUGAGGGCCUGGAUAGAGCUGGAAUCCAGAGUUGUCAGGACCCGGCCUCUAAGAGGAAGGGCUGAAAUCAUGUUGACAUCAAGGCUUUUCUCCAGUCCUAGGGUUUGGCAAACAAAGGCCCACAGGGGGCAUCUGACCUGUUGCCUCUUUUUGUAAGUUAAGAUUUAUGGGACCACAGCCACACCCACCUGUGCACGUGUGGUCUGCUGCUGCCUUUGCGCUGCAGCGUGGAGCAGCGUGACAGAAUGUACCGUCCAAGAGGCCGAAGAGGUUGACUCUCGGGUUCUUUACAGAACAAGUUUGCUGACUCUUGAUAUAACCCAUCCAGUGAAUGCGCUGAGUAUCUGCUAAAUAUCUACUCCAUGCUGAGACAUGUGUGCGCAGGGAUGCUCAGAGUGGUCCUCACUGGAUGGGAGGCUGAUGGCCUUUGGUAACGUGCUUGUGUCACGGGUGUCCAGGACAGGUGUGUAGGUAUCAGGGAGUAAGAAGGAUCUGGUGGAAGAAGUCAUGGUUUGAGAAAAUGUUCUGCCAUGAUUGUCUUGGUGGCAAGUCGCGGAUCACGGCUGGGCUCUUCCUUUGUCCGCUACCAGGAGGAGAUGCUGACGCGGCUGGAACUUCAGGCUUGGGGCGCACCUUUAUGAACUACUUCAAGACCUACAGCCAAUAUGUGGACUUCUGGUUCCAGGCCAAAAGAUGGGUACCUUCUGCCACCAGUUGGUGGUAGGGUGGGUCAAGCAAGAGGAUGUGAAUCCAAGUGUUUUCUGGGCCACAAGGUGCUGUGUUUGUGGCCUAGACAUUAUCUAUAAAAACGUUAGGAUGAGUGUUGUCUCUGUUGGCACACGAGGACAUGCAGCCCAUCCAAUAUCAAAGAGCAAAGCCAGUGGCAGAACAGGAAGCUGAGUCUCUUGGUUUCAGUCGCUGCUCUUUCCAGGGCACCGCGUGAUUCUGUAAGUCAUGCUUCUUUCCAUGGCGUCAGGAAUGCUCAGUUCUUUAGUCCACGUGUUCCUUCCUUCCUUCCUUCACUCACUAGUCAACACUAUCUAAGAGCCUGCUGUGAACUGGAAAAAGGACUGAAUUUUUCAGGGAGAGCGAUGACUGUAUAAAGAGUUGGAAGACUCAGAAUUAUUUUGUUCUUGGAUCCCUAAGGCUGCCGUCCUCCAGAAAUACGUAGAUUUCUCCCAUGCUGCCCAAGUGGUUGGCCCUUAUCUGUGACACGAAGAAAGAGAGUUGGUGGUGUGUGUGGGGGGGAGUAAUCCUAUCACUCAACAAACUGUUGCCUGAGAUGUUGUUCUGGGUAGCGUGUGUGUGCGUGUGUGUGUGCAUGUGUGUGCAUGCAUGUACGUACCAAGAAAGAGGAUGAGAGAUACUGAAAUGUCACUAGCAGAUUGUACCAGCAGCUAAAGGAUGGAGACAAUCUAGGUUUGGAAGAUUUGAAAGUUAGGCUUUCGUACAGAAAGUCCAAGGGAAUCCACAUCAGAGACAUUUUCAAGUAUCAACUGUCAAAUUAAUCGAGUCUAUUAAACCUGCCAGCUGUGGAUUUCCUUUACUAUACUGUUCCAGACGGUCUUCGUUCAGAUUGUAUUCUUUCAAUGAUGUCUCUUGUAACUUUGGAAGUGAUGAUUAUCAAAUGUGCCUAGAGGAAGCAGCUUCCACCAGAAUAUUGAACCUGCCGUGUCGUGAUAGGGGAAGGGGAAGUUCUUGAAAGUUUCCGUGUUUUGACACUUGCCCAUUUCAUGGGGAAGUUUGCCAAUAUUUCCCUCUCACUCAAAGUCAGUGUCAUUGGCUACUUAAGCUCUUCAAAUUCUGUGAACCUGAAAGUCAUAUGAUUCUCUGAAACAAGGUACCAGUGAAGUGGCCUCCUAAAGACAAAACAAAACAAAACCUUCCAGAACCUUCCAUCAUGCAGCUGUCACCAGCAAAGCCCUCUGGGAGGUACAUUAGAAAAUUCUGCCUCGUUCUCUUCCUUCUCCUGCGUCAGUCAGUCACGACCCUGUGGACUGAAUCUGGAGGUGGUGGCAUCUGAUUCUGCGAGUCAGCUUUGGGUCCGUGCUACCUCUCCGAUAGGUCCAGGACCCAGGACGCUGCUGUUGUAACAAACGUAACUUGUUUCAGCACAAAACGUGGUGUGUUCAUUGCAGGGCUUAACACCGAUACAGACAACGCUUCUCAUCUCGAAGAAAUUUGUAAGCAUUAACUAAUUCAUUUAACUUUCUUGUGGUGAAGCGAGUUUUCUUCCGUUUGCUGUGGGAAAACCCUUCUUUUUCUGAUUCUAAUCCUUGAGCAGGUAUUCUACUGAGAAGUAGUCACCACGCUGGAAAUGUUUUGUAGAGGGGAAAUAAAUCUUUCAACACAGUGUAAAAUUCCACUGAAACAGACGACCUCCAAUUCCUCAGCGUAUAAGCCUGUUUUUAAGCGAUUAAGCAAUGCUCUGGGGAAAAAAGUUAAAUCUCGCUGAAAACUGCAGGAACCCUUACUGUGUUGUUACCACCGCUGCCACCACCGAGCCUGUGUGCAGAGUUCUUAAUGGGUCACAUCUACGAGUUUGUGGGAGAACAGAGAGCUGGAGGAAGGGCUCCCGUGCUGUCUCCUCGGUGGAGAGUUCAAUCCAAGUGUAGGAUGUGACAAAGGAUCUAGAGAUGGCGAGAUUACACUGGAUUAUCUGGGCAAAGCACUCUCCAUUUCUUCAACUCUGACGCUGUGGAAGAGUAUUCUUUUUGUGGCUGGUGGCCACCAGUCCUUCCUCUGGACAUGUUGUCGCCCUCUGCCUCACUGGGAAGCUUAUGUGAUGCAGCACAGCUUCAGGGAGAACGCCGAGGGAGUCCAGGUGGAUCUGAGCUGUGCUCUGGGGAAUUCGUCGGCGCAGGACGCUGAGUGGCCGCCAUUCCUGUGUAUGUGUUUUUCAUCCAUGAGAGAUGAAAUAAGGAUCAUAUUCUUCAUUUGAUGACGCCCUCGAGAAUCCUUCCAUAGACGUUUAAGUUGAAAAUUCUUAGUUUCCAGCAACUUAUUAAAAAAAAAACACACACACACCAACCAGUCUGGCUAAAAAGUAUCCUCAGGAAACCAGGCUGGAGGAGGAGAGGGUGAAGCAGGAAUGAGCUGUUUAGCUUUUCUUGGAACGUGGCAUAAUUCUCAGAGGACUGAAGGGCCGAGCAUUCCCCAGAUACCUCUCAGGCACGUGUGCCAGUCCACAAAGUGCUGGAACCCCAGACACAGAAUCUGGAUGGAUUUCAAUUUCAGUGAUUCAGGUGUUUGUGGCAUAGAAUAAACACCACCCAGGAGGCGGUAUCCUGAGUUACCAGAAGUUCCAGUCUGCAGUAUAAUUCUGGGCCAUGCUUUCAGUGUCUACACGGGGAUAGCAAGUCAGCCAUUCAGUCCGCAUCGGCAGACCAGCUUACUGUUUGAAAAGGAAAUCCUAAAUCAACCGACGUUUGGGACUGAAUUAAUGUCUUUUUCCAGGGUCGGGCAGACCUAGCUUUGAUCUGCUCAGCUCUCCAUUUCUACGUUUGCUGAGUGACUACUGUGCAGUCCCAUUGUGUUAGAUGUUAUGAGCCACUGGGAUCCAACAUGGUACCCAGAGCUUUCAGGGAGCUUGCAAUCCAGCCGUGGGAAUGGACACACACUUAGGACACAAUCAGUGGAUAACACGAGGCAUUCAAUAAAAGGAUGCGAUGGGAGUUGAGAGGAGAAAGACAAACGCUCCUGGACUCUUUCAGAGAAGACUUUAAGCAACAGGGUGUGGUCUGGGGGACUUUGAAUAGGCUGAAGGAGAGAGAUGGCUUAUUAGGCUGGGACUUGGCAAGAAAAAAAGCCACUGACCAGAAGAAAAAAAGAGAUCGAAUAUCUAUACUCCACGUGUUUCUUAAAAUACAAAGAUCUUUACUUGUGUGA